Canis lupus familiaris (dog) is the source of this 83-nucleotide non-coding RNA. Lineage: Eukaryota; Metazoa; Chordata; Mammalia; Carnivora; Canidae. The record is from Rfam.
GCCUGAGUAGCUCAGAGGUUGAGCAUCUGCCUUUGGCUCAGAUCAUGGUCCUGGGGUCCUGGGAUCGAGUCCCACAUCAGGCU